GAAAAUAUGAUUUUUGAAAAUUUGGAUUUUGGAGUGGAGAGUGAAUUUUUGCAAUGUUGGCUUGAUGAUCUUUGGUCACUUUGUGCUUGGACAGCUUUUAGAAAAUGCAAGGCAAGUUAGGUUUAGUUAUGUUGGAUUGUGGACAAGGGUUUGACAGGAAAAAUGCAAGUGAAAAGGGUGAGUGCAGUUGGUCAUGGCUUGGUUUGGAACUUGUGAUUGCAAAUGAAGGUUGUUAGGCUGCUGCAGGUUUAAAC
RNAcentral lists this long non-coding RNA (254 nucleotides) under Lathyrus oleraceus (garden pea). Its description in RNAcentral is "Pisum sativum (pea) long non-coding RNA (PSAT_LNC031676)". The record is from RNAcentral. Lineage: Eukaryota; Viridiplantae; Streptophyta; Magnoliopsida; Fabales; Fabaceae.